Molecule: long non-coding RNA, 2001 nt
Organism: Mesocricetus auratus (golden hamster)
Lineage: Eukaryota; Metazoa; Chordata; Mammalia; Rodentia; Cricetidae
Exons: 4
Source: RefSeq, a predicted model, not a curated record
CACACACACACACACACACACACACACACACACACACACACGCCUCGCCCUCCCUCCCUGUCUUCAUCUUCUCCAUUCCGGGUGUUCUAAACCAAAUCAGAUCAAUUUUCGUUCAAUCCAAUGGAACCCCGGAGACUCACCGUCCCCGGAGUUUGCGUUCUUUGCGCACCGCUGCGGCGCACUCUAGACCUAGGGCAGAAACCCGAGUCUCAACUUUGGCCUCUUGGUAGUCUUUUGACUGGAAUCAAGCUCAAGUCUCUUGGAAGCCACUUAAUGAUGUUGGCUGAGUAAUGAUGUCGCCUGAGGUGAUACCAUUCACGAGGCAGAGGAGAGGAUCCGUGCCAUGUAGAGUGCCAUGAUUCUACUUACAGACCUAUGGAUGGGGUCAUGCGUGAAGAUAAGGAAGGACCUCCACGGCACCGGUCCAUGCGGAUUCCAUGACCAGGCAAGUCGAAGGCCAGCUCAGAAGCAAGGAGAGGAAGCACCUGCCACUAGGCCCCCAGUUGGCGGCCUGGUUUGGGGAGCUGGUGAGACUUUGGUGAUGUGGGGUCUUGUGGAGGAAGUGUGUCACUCUCUUUGCUUUCUGAGUGUGGCUGCCGAUGCAACCUUUGAGGCUCCUGCUCCGGCUGCCAGCCGCCGAGCCUAUCCUGCUGUUACAGCCAUCCCUCUGGAACCAUCAGCCAAAAUAGCCUCUUCCUUCUGUAAGUCCCCUUUGUUCAUGGUGUUUUAUCCCGGCACCAAAAAAUUACUAAUGCAGUUGGUGGUGACUUUAUUUGGAAACAAACCUCCACAGAUUUGGGGAGCUGCAGAAUUGGGGCUCAAGACCAAGUCCCUCUAAUUCCAAGUCUAUACAUUGAAUUUGGGUCCUUUCCUUAAGCUCAGCAUGGUAUAACCCCUUCCACAUCUCACCCUAGGUCUUCGUAGGAGCCUGAGAGCAGUCUGAGUACAAGCGGCUUACUGGCAAGGUGGUUCUCUCUGCUCAGGCCCCUAGCUGUCCCUGUCUUUCCCAUCCAAUAGUGUUUCUGGCUGCAAAGAGCUAUGAUUAAAACUUGCAUCAGUGAUUCCAGUACUUUGGAGGUGAAGACAAGAGGAUCACAGGUUCCAGUCCAGCCUGGGCUACAGAGCAAGACCUUGUCUCAAAAGUCAGCACUCAGCCUUCACAUGAGUGCAUAUGCACACACAUCCUUCCUCUGCCGUGUGUGGUAGAGUUUGUUUUGGUAGUUGCAAAGAACCACAUGGCCAAGUCUUCGUUCUCUGUGUAGAUUCCUCCCAUACUAACUAGAGACUGGUCCCAGCUUUGCUCAAGUAAAGGGAUUGUUAGUAAACCUAGGCAGGCAGAGGCUAAAUGAGAGCUUGCAAGUAUCUUUUUUUCUUGUAGCCCAAAUGCCACAUUGUUGGGAAGUCCAGGCCAUUCCCAAAAUAACACAUUUUUAUUAAUAAAAUAAAUAUCCAGGUAAGAAAUGUACAGAAAGUUUACAAGAAGCCCCAGGAGCAGGUCAACUCUGGGCACUCCUCAACCAAUGUGGAUUUGAAGCCCUACCUCGUCUGGGGACUGUGUUAGGCUCAGGUGCUGUUAGUACUUUUGUCUAGAAUAAGUUUGGAAGCGCUCAGAUGUGACUGAAAUCCCCCAGGGCAGCAGCAGCAAUAGGAGGAGGAGGAGGAGGAGGAGGAGAAAGAGGAAGAGGAGGAGGAGGAGGAGGAAGAGGAGGAGGAAACAGUCUUAGAAGAGAGAAAACAUUUGAGAGUUUGGCCCCUAAGUUCCUUGGUUGAGUGUGGGCAAAAGUAAUUACUGAAUGACAGCGUCAUGCCUGGGCCAUGAGUUUUGUACCAGACACUGCCUAUGUAACAAAACUAUGGAGAAAAAGAUUUAAUCUCUAUAAAAUAAGUGAAGUCACUAAAACUUCUUCCCAUUCAAAUCAAAGUCACCAAGUAAAUACAUCCCCCAAACUAAAGAAUGUUCCAGAUUCCAAUGUCAUUAAUAAAGUUUAAUUUGCUUUCCCA